RNAcentral lists this ribosomal RNA (341 nucleotides) under uncultured Prevotella sp. RNAcentral's name for it is "bacterial SSU rRNA". It matches the Rfam family "Bacterial small subunit ribosomal RNA", at positions 481 to 821 of the family's 1533-position model. Lineage: Bacteria; Pseudomonadati; Bacteroidota; Bacteroidia; Bacteroidales; Prevotellaceae. The record is from RNAcentral.
UACGAAUAAGGACCGGCUAAUUCCGUGCCAGCAGCCGCGGUAAUACGGAAGGUCCAGGCUUUAUCCGGAUUUAUUGGGUUUAAAGGGAGCGUAGGCUGUUUGUUAAGCGUGUUGUGAAAUGUAGGAGCUCAACUUUUAGAUUGCAGCGCGAACUGGCAGACUUGAGUGCGCACAACGUAGGCGGAAUUCAUGGUGUAGCGGUGAAAUGCUUAGAUAUCAUGACGAACUCCGAUUGCGAAGGCAGCUUACGGGAGCGCAACUGACGCAAAAGCUCGAAGGUGCGGGUAUCGAACAGGAUUUGAUACCCUGGUAGUCCGCACAGUAAACGAUGGAUGCCCGCU